UUACGGCCAUAUCACGUUGAAACACCAGUUCCCGUACGAUCACCGAAUUUAAGCAACGUCGAGCCUGGUCAGUGCCAAGAUGGGUGACAGUUUGGGAAUACCAGAUCCUGUA
Non-coding RNA from Acanthosepion pharaonis, 112 nucleotides. The record is from the annotation of a GenBank genome assembly. NCBI's taxonomy places the organism in Eukaryota, Metazoa, Mollusca, Cephalopoda, Sepiida, Sepiidae.